This is a long non-coding RNA of Branchiostoma belcheri (Belcher's lancelet), 254 nucleotides long. RefSeq lists it as uncharacterized. The record is from RefSeq and is a predicted model, not a curated record. Lineage: Eukaryota; Metazoa; Chordata; Leptocardii; Amphioxiformes; Branchiostomatidae. The transcript is spliced from 3 exons.
CACGGGUCUCCCACCGGAGUUGGUCAGAACUGCUGUGAUGGGUCUCCCACCGGGGUUUCUCAGGUCGACUGUGACAGCAAAACAAGCAAUGUUAAAGACCAGACGGCAGCACACGUCAACUUGAAUAACACUGUGUAUUCCCCUCUGACCUCGCGAGACGAAGGAAGGACAAAGCUGCCCGAGUUCCGGUUUACGUGAAGAGAAAAACCGUCAUAGGAAGCAGGCUGAACAUGGCAAUGGCAGGACACGGGUCU